GUGUGUUUGUGAGGGUGUGUUUUUGUGAAUGUGUUUGUUUGUGUGAGUGUGUGAGUGUGUUGUGACAGUGUGAGUAUGUUGUGAGAGUGAGAGCGUGUUUGUGAGAGUGUGUUUGUGUGAGAGUGUGAGUGUGUUGUGAGAGGGUGUGAGUGUGAGUGUGUUGUGUGAGUGUGUUUGUGAGAGUGUGUGUGUGUUUGUGAGAGAGUGUUUGUGACUGAGUGUGAAUGUGUUUGUGUUUGUGUUUGUGUGAGUGAGUGUGUUUGUGUGAGAGUGUUUGUGUGUUUGUGUGAGCGUGUUUGUGUUUGUAUGAGUGUGUUUGUGUGAGAGUGUUUGUGACUGAGUGUGUUUGUGUGAGUGUGUUUGUGAGAGUGUGUUUUUGAGAGAGUGAGUGUGUUUGUGUUUGUGUGAGUGUGUUUUUGAGAGAGUGAGUGUGUUUGUGUUUGUGUGAGUGUGUUUUUGAGAGAGUGAGUGUGUUUGUGAUAGUGUGUUUGUGAGAGUGUGAGUGUGUUUGUGAGAGUGUGUUUGUGUGUGUGUGAGUGUGUUUGUGUGAGUGUGUUGUGAGACUGUGCGUGUGUUGUGUGAGUGUGUUUGUGAGAGUGUGAGUGUGUUGUGAGACUGUGAGUGUGUUGUGUGAGUGUGUUUGUGAGAGUGUGAGUGUGUUGUUGUGUUUGAGAGAGUAUGAGUGUGUUUGUGAGAGUGUGUUUGUGAGAGUGUGUUUGUGAGAGUGUGAGUGUGAGAGUGUGUUUGUGAGAGUGUGAGUGUGUUUGUGAGAGUGUGUUUGUGAGAGUGUGAGUGUGUUUUUGAGAGAGUAUGAGUGUGUUUGUGUUUGUGUUUGUGACUGAGUGUGAGCGUGUUUGUGUGUGUGUAACAGUGAAGAUUUGGUUUCUUCCACUUGCAUCCUUUUUGUGCUAUUUAAUCACACUGAGCAUGUGCAUAAGUCAUGUUGUUGGGGAUAUAGUGACCUCUAGGGGAUACAUGUUGAACUGAGUGGCUCUCCUCAGAGUUUGAAGGGUUAGAG
Molecule: long non-coding RNA, 1018 nt
Organism: Clupea harengus (Atlantic herring)
Lineage: Eukaryota; Metazoa; Chordata; Actinopteri; Clupeiformes; Clupeidae
Source: Ensembl